CGAGUUUGAUCCUGGCUCAGGAUGAACGCUGGCGGCGUGCCUAACACAUGCAAGUCGAGCGCGAUUAAGUGGAUUGGAAGCUUCGGCCAAAGAGAAACUUAUGAAAGCGGCGGACGGGUGAGUAACGCGUGGGUAACCUGCCCCAUACAAAGGGAUAGCCACUGGAAACGGUGAUUAAUACCUUAUAAGUCGGUAGUCUCGCAUGAGACAGCCGACAAAGAUUUAUCGGUAUGGGAUGGACCCGCGUCUGAUUAGCUAGUUGGUGAGGUAACGGCUCACCAAGGCGACGAUCAGUAGCCGACCUGAGAGGGUGAUCGGCCACACUGGAACUGAGACACGGUCCAGACUCCUACGGGAGGCAGCAGUGGGGAAUAUUGCACAAUGGGCGCAAGCCUGAUGCAGCAACGCCGCGUGAGUGAUGAAGGCUUUCGGGUCGUAAAACUCUGUCCUAUGGGAAGAAAAAAAUGACGGUACCAUAGGAGGAAGCCCCGGCUAACUACGUG
RNAcentral lists this ribosomal RNA (503 nucleotides) under uncultured bacterium. RNAcentral's name for it is "bacterial SSU rRNA". It matches the Rfam family "Bacterial small subunit ribosomal RNA", at positions 9 to 507 of the family's 1533-position model. The record is from RNAcentral.